RNAcentral lists this ribosomal RNA (478 nucleotides) under Salmonella enterica subsp. enterica serovar Infantis. RNAcentral's name for it is "bacterial SSU rRNA". The record is from RNAcentral. Lineage: Bacteria; Pseudomonadati; Pseudomonadota; Gammaproteobacteria; Enterobacterales; Enterobacteriaceae.
AAAUUGAAGAGUUUGAUCAUGGCUCAGAUUGAACGCUGGCGGCAGGCCUAACACAUGCAAGUCGAACGGUAACAGGAAGCAGCUUGCUGCUUUGCUGACGAGUGGCGGACGGGUGAGUAAUGUCUGGGAAACUGCCUGAUGGAGGGGGAUAACUACUGGAAACGGUGGCUAAUACCGCAUAACGUCGCAAGACCAAAGAGGGGGACCUUCGGGCCUCUUGCCAUCAGAUGUGCCCAGAUGGGAUUAGCUWGUUGGUGAGGUAACGGCUCACCAAGGCGACGAUCCCUAGCUGGUCUGAGAGGAUGACCAGCCACACUGGAACUGAGACACGGUCCAGACUCCUACGGGAGGCAGCAGUGGGGAAUAUUGCACAAUGGGCGCAAGCCUGAUGCAGCCAUGCCGCGUGUAUGAAGAAGGCCUUCGGGUUGUAAAGUACUUUCAGCGGGGAGGAAGGUGUUGUGGUUAAUAACCGCAGCAA